GACGAACGCUGGCGGCGUGCUUAACACAUGCAAGUCGAACGGAAAGGCCCUGCUUUUGUGGGGUGCUCGAGUGGCGAACGGGUGAGUAACACGUGAGUAACCUGCCCUUGACUUUGGGAUAACUUCAGGAAACUGGGGCUAAUACCGGAUAGGAGCUCCUGCUGCAUGGUGGGGGUUGGAAAGUUUCGGCGGUUGGGGAUGGACUCGCGGCUUAUCAGCUUGUUGGUGGGGUAGUGGCUUACCAAGGCCUUGACGGGUAGCCGGCCUGAGAGGGUGACCGGCCACAUUGGGACUGAGAUACGGCCCAGACUCCUACGGGAGGCAGCAGUGGGGAAUAUUGCACAAUGGGCGGAAGCCUGAUGCAGCAACGCCGCGUGCGGGAUGACGGCCUUCGGGUUGUAAACCGCUUUCGCUUGUGACGAAGCGUGAGUGACGGUAAUGGGUAAAGAAGCACCGGCUAACUACGUG
RNAcentral lists this ribosomal RNA (468 nucleotides) under uncultured bacterium. Its description in RNAcentral is "partial 16S ribosomal RNA". It matches the Rfam family "Bacterial small subunit ribosomal RNA", at positions 28 to 507 of the family's 1533-position model. The record is from RNAcentral.